AAUAGAUACCCUGGUAGUCCACGCCGUAAACGAUGAGUGCUAAGUGUUAGGGGGUUUCCGCCCCUUAGUGCUGCAGCUAACGCAUUAAGCACUCCGCCUGGGGAGUACGGUCGCAAGACUGAAACUCAAAGGAAUUGACGGGGGCCCGCACAAGCGGUGGAGCAUGUGGUUUAAUUCGAAGCAACGCGAAGAACCUUACCAGGUCUUGACAUCCCGUUGACCACUGUAGAGAUAUAGUUUCCCCUUCGGGGGCAACGGUGACAGGUGGUGCAUGGUUGUCGUCAGCUCGUGUCGUGAGAUGUUGGGUUAAGUCCCGCAACGAGCGCAACCCUUGAUCUUAGUUGCCAUCAUUUAGUUGGGCACUCUAAGGUGACUGCCGGUGACAAACCGGGAGGAAGGUGGGGAUGACGUCAAAUCAUCAUGCCCCUUAUGACCUGGGCUACACACGUGCUACAAUGGACGAUACAAACGGUUGCCAACUCGCGAGAGGGAGCUAAUCCGAUAAAGUCGUUCUCAGUUCGGAUUGUAGG
Molecule: ribosomal RNA, 530 nt
Filed under: uncultured bacterium
Lineage: Bacteria
Description: bacterial SSU rRNA
Rfam family: Bacterial small subunit ribosomal RNA
Source: RNAcentral